Molecule: small RNA, 508 nt
Filed under: uncultured Glomus
Lineage: Eukaryota; Fungi; Glomeromycota; Glomeromycetes; Glomerales; Glomeraceae
Description: SSU rRNA
Rfam family: Eukaryotic small subunit ribosomal RNA
Source: RNAcentral
AGCAGCCGCGGUAAUUCCAGCUCCAAUAGCGUAUAUUAAAGUUGUUGCAGUUAAAAAGCUCGUAGUUGAAUUUCGGGGUUAGUAAGUUGGUCAUGCCUCCGGUAUGUACUGGCUUUACUGAUUCCUCCUUCUUGAUGAACUGUAAUGUCAUUAAUUUGGCGUUGCAGGGAAUCAGGACUGUUACUUUGAAAAAAUUAGAGUGUUUAAAGCAGGCAUACGCUUGAAUACAUUAGCAUGGAAUAAUGAAAUAGGACGUUUGAUCCUAUUUUGUUGGUUUCUAGGAUUGACGUAAUGAUUAAUAGGGAUAGUUGGGGGCAUUAGUAUUCAAUUGUCAGAGGUGAAAUUCUUGGAUUUAUUGAAGACUAACUACUGCGAAAGCAUUUGCCAAGGAUGUUUUCAUUAAUCAAGAACGAAAGUUAGGGGAUCGAAGACGAUCAGAUACCGUCGUAGUCUUAACCAUAAACUAUGCCGACUAGGGAUCGGAUGAUGUUAUUUUUUAAUGACUCAU